UUCGCAUAUCAAAAAAGCGGAGGAAAAGAAACCAACAGGGAUUGCCCUAGUAACGGCGAGUGAAGCGGCAACAGCUCAAAUUUGAAAGCUAGCCUUCGGGUUCGCAUUGUAAUUUGUAGAGGAUGAUUUGGGGAAGCCGCCUGUCUAAGUUCCUUGGAACAGGACGUCAUAGAGGGUGAGAAUCCCGUAUGUGACAGGAAAUGGCACCCUAUGUAAAUCUCCUUCGACGAGUCGAGUUGUUUGGGAAUGCAGCUCUAAAUGGGAGGUAAAUUUCUUCUAAAGCUAAAUAUUGGCGAGAGACCGAUAGCGCACAAGUAGAGUGAUCGAAAGAUGAAAAGCACUUUGGAAAGAGAGUUAAAAAGCACGUGAAAUUGUUGAAAGGGAAGCGCUUGCAAUCAGACUUGUUUAAACUGUUCGGCCGGUCUUCUGACCGGUUUACUCAGUUUGGACAGGCCAGCAUCAGUUUCGGCGGCCGGAUAAAGGCUCUGGGAAUGUGGCCUCCACUUCGGUGGAGGUGUUAUAGCCCAGGGUGUAAUACGGCCAGCCGGGACUGAGGUCCGCGCUCGGCUAGGAUGCUGC
This 579-nucleotide ribosomal RNA is filed under the name Aureobasidium pullulans. Its description in RNAcentral is "partial large subunit ribosomal RNA". It matches the Rfam family "Eukaryotic large subunit ribosomal RNA", at positions 35 to 629 of the family's 3401-position model. Lineage: Eukaryota; Fungi; Ascomycota; Dothideomycetes; Dothideales; Saccotheciaceae. The record is from RNAcentral.